Molecule: long non-coding RNA, 1179 nt
Filed under: Gallus gallus (chicken)
Lineage: Eukaryota; Metazoa; Chordata; Aves; Galliformes; Phasianidae
Description: lncRNA (ENSGALG00010004388.1)
Source: RNAcentral
AAAAAGGAAUCCUCAAAGCCAAGGACCCUGAUCUGCAGUACAGCUUGUUCCUUAGUGACAAGUUCUUCCUCUGAUUCUGCAACAGUAAUUUUUCCAAAUGUGUUUUCUCCAAAUAUCCUUUCUGAGUGUUUACAAAGAGGUUUACAAUGGCACACUGUGCUGAAGUUAUCCAAUUCCGGAGGAUCUGCAGUGUGCUUACAAGAGGGGUUUGCUAUACCAUCUUGGCCAGCUGCAGCUUCUGUUUACUGUUCCACAAACCCUUGGAGUACUGGAGUAGUUGCUAAGCUAUCAGCAAGAGCUGGAAAAGCUGGACAUAUUACUGUAACUCACAAUUUGAUAUGUGCUCCCUGUGGACAGCUCCUCACUAAAGAAAUUUUGGGCAAUUCAGUAAGGCACCAUCCCUUGGAAGCCCAGCAGUUGGUGUAUUGAUAUUUUAAGUUCCUGUCCUAGGACGUAGUAGCACUGUCCAUGGGGAAGUACCCACAAGCCAUGGAGCAUCUUGUGAUCGGGAAAUGAUGUCUGACUAGAAUGCCUAUAGAGGCACUACUGGUGCUCACAGUCAGCUCCUGUUGUUGACUCUUACUGAGGAUUUUUAUGAAGAAAUUUGGACAAAUUCCCACUUGGUGGUCAACAGUUUUUUUCACAACUUGACUUUUUAUUUUCCAGGAGCACACAGAUCAUUCAAAGGUUCUCUCUUCCAAGCUAAAGAAGACUUCUCAAGUUGGAUAUCUCAGUAAUGGGCUCCUGACUCCAUCUAUGCACUUUAGAAAUGUUGACAUUCAGAACUUAAGGUCACUCUGCUAUGUUGGGAAAAACGAUUUGAAUCAAGGAGAGAUAUUCAUUGCUGUGUACUGAAGAUAUGUUUCAAUACUGUCUAGUAUACUUAACCAAUUAUUGGGAUAACUCUUUAGCAAGGAGAGGAAGACAUUCACCUGAGAAGGAAAGUGAAGCCCUAUGCCAGUAUUAGAUUACUUGGCUUUACAAGGACAACAAGACUGUUAGGCAUACUUCAAUUUCUAGGCCAAUCUCAUGGUGGUGCAAAAUGUUGCUUCAUGUUUCCUCAAGUGUAGAAGGGAUCUGAAUCUGAAUCACCAACACUCAACCUAUACUCAUAUAAUUAGUGAUUGAACUAAAACAGAGAAGAUUUUUUUUUUUCCUGAUCAUUUUUUAAGUGUAGGC